Non-coding RNA from Ictidomys tridecemlineatus (thirteen-lined ground squirrel), 1928 nucleotides. Lineage: Eukaryota; Metazoa; Chordata; Mammalia; Rodentia; Sciuridae. The record is from RefSeq and is a predicted model, not a curated record.
CCAUCCCCCUACUCCACCCUGGUCAGGGUUUGGGGUCAAGAAAUUCUGUCCUUAUUUUCUACUCCUAUAGUCCAAUUUCAAAUCCCUGUAAGUUCUGACCUGCCCAACACUGAGUCCCCUCUGGGCCCUUUUGCUGCUUUGCUUCUGGGCUGUGAAGAGUCCAGGGUGGCUUCCUGUACCUGCUCUGCCAUCUUCCGGCUUCCCUGGGUCUCUUGUCAUCUCAUGGUGGCUCCCUCCUCUGUGCUCCCACUUGUGCCUCCUCUGGUCCUGACUCAAGGGGCUGCAGGUCUGGAACCUGUGACAUCACAAUACAUGUGCCCACCCCCACUCAAGCUUAAUGCCAUUGAGAGCAUCUGAUUGGCCCCUGGGCAGCCAAUAGCUUUACAGGUUUUGCUGCAAAUGUUCACCUUGGACACCAGAGAACACGGCCUUCCUGAGUGGAAUUGGAGAGCAGCAGGUUGGGAGGCCUCUUUCGGACUUUGAUUUGGGGAGAGCCAUUGGAAGAAGGAGAAAAAAAAGCAGCCAUAAUUACCCUGGUAAAGGAGGCUGUCCACAUCAGACCCGAGUGCCCUUUUGGAUCAGAUGAGUCAGCGCAGAUAUUUAAAGAACAGGAGAGGCCAUGAGCUCUCAGGAAGAAGAUGUUAAAGAAAAGACUUGCGCCUGUGAGAUCCUUCUAUUUUCCUUCCUUGCCCCUAGGACUCCAGUUCUCACACCCGUCACUGGGAGAAGAAACAACCCACCAGGACUCUGCACUCAGAUUCUGACCAGGACACACCUCCUUCCCACACACUCACCCUCCCAAUUCCUGACUGCCAAGGCCCGUUUUCUACCUUGGCUCAUGAAUGAGUUCACCUGGUUGCUGGUCACUUUUUUGCUUCUGCUGUGCUCCCUGAGACAAUGGUCCAGGUGUUUGUAGGGACUCUGUCGGGGACAGGACAUCCAGGCAGAGCAGAUCCCCCAAAGUGGGGUGGGGCGUGUCUCUGCUCUCCACCAGGUUCAUGCUGCACACAGCCAGAGAUCCAGGAGGAGCCCCCAAGUCCUGAGAAUCAAGCCCGUCUCUCCAAACCCGAAAAUCCACUAAGAGACACGAGACAGAGGGUUGGCAAGUGAAGACCAAGCAGGAGAACAGCGGUUGCCUUCAGAAAACUGUGCAUAAGAAGAUUCCUUGGCAGAGUUGAGCACAUCUCUAUUUUCAGAAGUGCAGUAUUUGCCAACAUAUGGUGCUAACACCAUUGGACAAGCAAAGGCCAAAAAGUGAAACUGGACCUGAACAUCACACGUUUGCAGGAAGCUGGUGCUAGGACAAGACGAGGCCCAUCAUCUGACAUUCGUGACCUUCCUCACAAGCUUUCAGACAAAGUGUCUUACUUUUUACUAGUGGUAUGGUACGACAGGUGUGCGAAUCUCCCAGAAUUCCCAGAGGGAUUCAUCACAGCCACAAAGACAGGGGACGCUGCCUUCAAUUUCUGUGAAGUCAAUGUCUGUGAGGCGUGUAUUUCUGGACAAGGAGCCACACGAGAGGGAAAGCAGUUGAUGAUCUGCACUUCCCUUCCUUUCCUCCUCUGCUGGUGAAGCUUACAGAGGACUCGAAUGUCUCCUUGAAGGACAAAAUUUUGACAUUUUACCCUCCAAUUUGGUUUUCAGUGAGCCUACUUACUUCAAGUAGAGAGCAUUCUGAUGCAGUAGCAGGGACUGCAGGAAAUGACACUCCUGCCUCCCGGGUCUCAGCAUGUGGCCUGCUUAUGGCUACUGGGGAUGAUUGCUCCUGAGCCCCUCAGUACAGAGGGCAGGAAAUGGACCUAUUCUACUAACCCAUGCCAACAAGUGCAAAUCUAUCUAUCUAUCUAUCUAUCUAUCUAUCUAUCUAUCUAUCUAUCUAUCUAUCUAUCUAUCUAUCAUCUAGCUAAACUUUCCAUCCAUCUAUCCAU